Non-coding RNA from Rattus norvegicus (Norway rat), 2061 nucleotides. The record is from RefSeq and is a predicted model, not a curated record. Lineage: Eukaryota; Metazoa; Chordata; Mammalia; Rodentia; Muridae.
CUUGUGGUACCAGCGGGCAUUCUAAGAACUUUACAAGGAUGAGUUCUCUUGGCAUGAGCUGUCACAGUGACUUCAAGUGUAAACUUUGAAGCUAGAAGGAUUUGAAUUUUAAACCCUGGUUCUACUUCUCCUGUGAACUGUGUGACAGAGGCCAGGAGACUGGGCCUGACCCUCACUUUGUCCCUUUCAGUGGAGGCUUGAGGACAAUUUACAGAGUGACAAGAAGUGCAAGAAGUCUCAGAUGAGGCUAGAUGGUGCCAUCGGUUUAGUCCUGCAGGAUUCCGGCUGCUGAGCAUGGUUCAAGGCCCACAGAGGAGGGACUCGGUGGGUACCAACUCCGGAAGGUUCUCAGUCACUACCAGCUUCCUGUCAAUUGAAAGGAGCUGCCUUUAGCAAUGUUUCCUACCCACAAGACUGUGCUUUAUCCUAUGACCCCUGACCCCUUCACCACAAUUUCCUGGACCAGGACUUACUGAAGAAUUGCUGGGCUGCUUGCCGCCAAGCCCAGUUUCUGAAAGAGAAGAGUCAUGCUGGCUGGCGGCUCUACAUCAGCUCCACAGGACAUGGAUUCUGGGGGAAGGCAUCGCUUGACCAACAGAAACUCUCAGGACAGGAUCCCCAGGGACAAGAAUUCCUCAUCCAUCUGUUGCUCCUUUAAGGCUCCCAUGUGUGAACAGGUUCUUUCCGGCUGGUACCGAGCUUUCAGGAGGCUGUGGGACCUUUAAGGCUCCAGUUGGAAGAGGGCCAGGAGGGAAGGAUGAACCAGACAUGACCCUACCCAUCAGGCAGCUCAGCGUUGGGGACACCCACAGCGUAAUCAUCACUCAAGCAGCAGCAACAGCAGCCGGAGACCACAGCAGGCAGCUACACAGUGGGCAGCACGGUUCUGGAUGUCCGUGCCAGUUGACGGAGGCCCUUGGUGCCUUACAUAGCAGAUGUCCCCACGACACUGGCUCCUGCUGCCCAUUAGAGACUGUGAGUCCUGGUCCUUGUGUCUGGCUGUGGCCUGAUGCCAGUGCCUCCCCAUGCCUUAUGAGUAUGAUGGCCCUGUCUCGGCCACAGCCAUAGAAAUGGUAAGGUGUGUCUGCCUCCACAUGCUCCUCCCCGUGCUGAUGUGGACACUGUGGCAUCAUCUUCAUCUGCCUCCCACUCCACACAUCUAGAGAAAGCCCUUGGGGACCUGUUACAACAAUGCAACCCUUACUGUGAAACGCUGGGGGAAGGGAAUUGGAGCGCUGCGAUGCAGGUGGACAUGUAACAGAGUGUCUGAAGUAUGCAACAGUGUGUCUGCAGUGUGUGACAGUGUGUCCGCAGUGUGACUUGGUGACCUAAACUUCAGAGCCCCAUGUCCUUAGAGAACAUCAACACUGUGGCUCCAGGACUCAAGAUAGGCUCAAGUCUGGGGUGCAGGGAACCCCUUCCUGUACAUUGCAGAGGCAAAGCUGCUUCAGUUGGGGCUGAUGGGACAGGGAAUGGUCUCUCUUUUUCAGAUCAGGACUCCUGGAUUCUAGUGCAGGGAGUGAACUCCGGGUGGGGACCUGAGAGCUACAGGACUCAAGGAACCUGGGUCUCUGGGCCACAUCAAGGAGAAGAGAGUUGCCUAGCAACCUAAGGCAAUGCUGUUAGCUCAGGUCCCAAGCAGUUAGCAGAACAGUGGGAAAGAAAUUAUGAGAAUGUUAACUUAACUAAACUCCGCCAGUUCCCAAUGGUACGCUCAGCCCUGCAGCAAGCACUCAGGCAUAGCUCAGGAUUCCAAGUGGGUUAGUGUGACACAUUCAUGAUCUCAGGGGGAAAACGAGGACAUCGCAGUAAUAUUUCCCAAGGCAUGCAAUUAUUUGAAAAAGCCCCAAACAGUCCAGACUAAUGAGUCUAACUUGCCAUGUGAAGUCUGGAAAUCUAAUUUUUGAUGGUGUGGUUGUUUCAAAUCCAACAGGGAAGGAGCGGAAAUCUUGAUUCUGCGAGUGUUGAAGGCUCAAUUCUUUUCGCACGCAGUCUUGUUAAGCUGAGAGCCAGCGUGAUCUAGACUCUGCACUUGGAAGAGCACUUCAGUGAGUCUGUAAG